Molecule: ribosomal RNA, 446 nt
Filed under: uncultured bacterium
Lineage: Bacteria
Description: bacterial SSU rRNA
Rfam family: Bacterial small subunit ribosomal RNA
Source: RNAcentral
AACGAACGCUGGCGGCAGGCUUAACACAUGCAAGUCGAACGCCCCGCAAGGGGAGUGGCAGACGGGUGAGUAACGCGUGGGAAUCUACCGUACCCUACGGAAUAGCUCCGGGAAACUGGAAUUAAUACCGUAUACGCCUACGGGGAAGGAUUAUCGGGUAGUGAUGAGCCCGCGUUGGAUUAGCUAGUUGGUGGGGUAAAGGCCUACCAAGGCGACGAUCCAUAGCUGGUCUGAGAGGAUGAUCAGCCACAUUGGGACUGAGACACGGCCCAAACUCCUACGGGAGGCAGCAGUGGGGAAGUAUUGGACAAUGGGCGGCAAGCCUGAUCCAGCCAUGCCGCGUGAGUGAUGAAGGUCUUAGGAUUGUAAAGCUCUUUCACCGAUGAAGAUAAUGACGGUAGUCGGAGAAGAAGCCCGGCUAACUUCGUGCCAGCAGCCGCGGUAAU